CCUACGGGCGGCAGCAGUGGGGGAUAUUGCACAAUGGGGGAAACCCUGAUGCAGCGACGCCGCGUGUGGGAAGACGGUCCUCUGGAUUGUAAACCACUGUCCCCAGGGACGAAGAUGACGGUACCUGGGGAGGAAGCUCCGGCGAACUACGUGCCAGCAGCCGCGGUACUACGUAGGGAGCGAGCGUUGUCCGGAAUUACUGGGUGUAAAGGGAGCGUAGGCGGGACUGCAAGUUGGGUGUCAAAUCUACCGGCUCAACCGGUAGCCGCACUCAACACUGCAGUUCUUGAGUGAAGUAGAGGCAGGCGGAAUUCCUAGUGUAGCGGUGAAAUGCGUAGAUAUUAGGAGGAACACCAGUGGCGAAGGCGGCCUGCUGGGCUUUUACUGACGCUGAGGCUCGAAAGUGUGGGGAGCAAACAAGAUUAGAUACCCUUGUAGUC
Molecule: ribosomal RNA, 440 nt
Filed under: uncultured bacterium
Lineage: Bacteria
Description: partial 16S ribosomal RNA
Rfam family: Bacterial small subunit ribosomal RNA
Source: RNAcentral